Meriones unguiculatus (Mongolian gerbil) is the source of this 3402-nucleotide long non-coding RNA. RefSeq lists it as uncharacterized. NCBI's taxonomy places the organism in Eukaryota, Metazoa, Chordata, Mammalia, Rodentia, Muridae. The record is from RefSeq and is a predicted model, not a curated record. The transcript is spliced from 3 exons.
CCGGCGCGCGCCGCGGGGUCCGCCGCCCUCCGGGCCCGCUCGCCGCAGCCGCCCCGCCCCGCGCCUCCCGGCCGCGCACACUCCCUGCCGGGGCUGAGGCGGGACGGGGAGCGAGCGCCCCGGGGGGCGGUGAGAGCGCGAGCGGCAGCCCGAGGGAGCGGAGCAGGUACCAUCUGACUGGUCUCGUUUGAGAGUACUGGGAACAGACCAAGCGGCACUACACGUCUCUUGUGAUUUCCAAGCUGAAAUUUCUAUAUUGUUUUUCUCCCAUGCUUUGUAACUGGAAAGAAGAAUGGAAAAGUUUGCUUACGUUUUGUGUCAUAUUAUCAUUCUUACGGUUGGUGAUUCCUGCUACCACUCACCUGUUGUCAGCCAGCUUCGGAAUCCAAAUUAGCUUUCACUGCUUUGAAGCAAGGCAAGCUAGAUGAGAUCUUGUAUAGCACAACUGACUUAAGUGUUUUACAGUGAGAAUUUUUAUAAAUCUCAAAUCCAACCUCAUCACAGAGGAAAUUGAAGACCAAAAUCAGAUUUAUAAAUAUGGUUAAGUAACAGCUAGAACCAGAAUCUGGAUAAACUUAGUCCAAUUUAAGACUACCGUGGUUUUCAAAGUUAACACAUGAGAAUUACAUGAGUCCCUUUUUACAAUACUUGAAGCCAACCCUAGAGCAAAUGAAUCAAUUUUGAGAAGUAAGACUUAGCCAUGGAUAUGUUUUCAAAGUAUCUCAACCAACUAGCAAAGUUUGGGAAAUAAACAUUAUAAAAUAAUGGUGAAGAAAGAAAACAAGACAAGAAGAAAAACAAAAGGAAGCGCUUCUGGAAAAAAAUUGAAUCACCUAAAAUUCAGUGUCAUACUUUAUUAUACACACUCUCCUUUCUUGCAUGCCAGCCACCACACAGCUGGUAUACAUACUUACGGCUGUAACCUAGGAAACACCAGCCACCAAAAUACGCUAUUAAAAUAAAAGCAUAUGUAUGAACAGCAGGAAUUUUAUGAGUGUAUCCCAAGCACCUGGAAUAAUACAUGGCUUAUAGGUGGAUGCCUCAACAACUAUUUGGUUAAUUGCUUCCUGAGGUGAGGAUUUAUCUUCAUUACUUGCUUACAUUGAAUCUGAGAAUGGGGGGAAACAUUCUAGAAAGAGGAGAAAAUAAAUGCAAAGAAACUAUUAACUUUUGAUUCGGACCCUGGCAUCACCUCUGUCCUUACCUACAACCCUUGUUCUAUGACAAUCUUCUUGCCCUCCAGUGUCUGCAACUUUCAGAUGCUUUUCUUUCAGUUUGACUUACCGUUUCAGUCAUAUGUCUUUGCCAUAUCCUCAGCCUUUUUCUUCCACCUAUUUGCUCCAGGCUCUCUUAUCAGUGUGCAUAGUGAUGCAAGUGUCAUGAUAUGACUUAACCAUUUCCUUGUCUAUAUCCUCAACUGAACCAUGAACUGUUUUAGCAAGGGAUGCACUUUUUCCCAGUUUCCCCAGGCCAUAUUAAAGUGCUUGGUACACUACAGCAGCUCAGCAACUGUAUGCUCAACAAACGGAUGAACAGCUACAAAAUAUGAGAGAAUUACUCACUGUAGUAUGAAGAGCACAGAAUUAAAAGCAAAGGAUGGUAUAGAAAUAGGUGAUGUAAGACUGUUUCCUAGCUUAUAUGCCUUGCUGAAGAAUUUGCAUUUGUUUUAUAGUCAUUGUACCAUGGAAGUCUUUAGACAGAAAACUGACAUGAUAAGCUUUGAUUUUCAGAAGCAUGUCUUGCAUUAAUUUCUUUAUUCAUAGCUAAAACACCUGCCAAUAGAAUUAGUAAAAGGACACAGAUGCACUCUGAUUUACACUUGGAGACACAAAUAGCAGAAUUUUUUUAACUUCUUGAUUUCAGGAUUUAUUUGUGUAGCUAUUUUUCUCAGUAGAUUAUAACAGCAUGAUAAUGAGGCCAAGGUCAUGGUUUAAAUCUCUGUGUGAGUCAGACAGUGCAAUAGCCACAGCUGACUAUUAAUCUCUGCCAGUUGUCAAAUGACAACAAAUACUAUUUUUUGACCAGAAAUUCAGUGGGAGAAUAUGACCAGUUCAUUCCAAGCUAAUCAGCAUUAUGAGAAAAGCAACUCAAAGUGCCUGGCUGUUAGCUGAGCAAACAUCCUAAAACAACACACACAGGUCUUUCUAGAUUAAAACCACCGGACUUAGUGGUGACCAAAGCGUACAGCACCAGGAAAAAACAUCAUUUGCUCCCGGAGAAGAAGAAACUAAAGAUUGGUAUAGCUUCUUUGUUGAGAUUCAUGACCAAAAAGUAAUUUUGAAAAAAACUUAAGUGGAUCUUAGUGUAAAUAAGCUUUAUCACUUACUUGUGUAUUCAGCAGUACAUGAGGGCAUUUCACAGUGACCACAUCGUAACACAGCUACUAUAGUAAAAACUCUUGGGACAAUGAUACUGCAUUCAUCUUUCAUUUGUAGCUUUAUAAAGCCACUUCUGUUAUAUUCCUGCCUAACAAUCAGUAACUAUGUUUGUAGAGUUAAGGACAAUGUUAAAGGUCGGUGCAUGUAAGUACAACUUGCUCUUUUAACGGAAUAUUUAUUUUCAUUAAAACUUAGAAUACUGCAAUGGAAAAAAAUGUAAUUUUAUGUCAGAAACCAUUUUUAACUGUUAAUGUAAAAAAUAAUCUAGGCAUUCGGUGUCAACUAAGUACCAACAUCUGUUGACCUUGUAAAAAUAGUCAACCAGGCAUGCAUUAUAACAGACACUUCGAACUGCACUUGCAUUUUGGAGCACUCAUUCCUAAAUAAAAUGCCUUUUCACCAAGCCUGCACCUCAAGUUUCAGAACCUAUGUUGAAGAGGAAGGGGAAACCUUUUAAGAGUCAGAGAGAUGUAUUCAAUGAAUAAAAGACAAUAGAAAAUUAUCACCACAAAAAAAAAAAAAAAGUCAGAGAUGACUCCAAGAAAACAAAGUCCUCCAGCCACAACAGGACUGAUGUACACAAGAUCACACAGAGACAGAGACCACACAGGUUCAAGCCAGAUGGGGCCCCAGCACUGAGAAAGGGAAGUGGACACUAAUUCUCCUCCAUACUCAAGAAGCUAUCUGCUUUUGGUACCCACUUGCAAAGAAAAAAAAAUAGUCUUCUUCAAUGAAGUCUCAUAGGGCAUAUUAACCACCCUUCACCAUAGUCCCCAUACCUACGAGUAGAUGGCCAACACAAAAAAAUUUUUGUAGAACUUUUUCUCACAUUGUUUGGACAGUUUUUGAUCUUACUGAUCUUUUGGCUUCCAGUUUUGUUUGAGUUUCUUGAUUGUUUCUUAUGGUAAGAGAAAAAAGCAUAGAUUUGGGUAGUCAGGGAGAGGUGGGACAGAUAUUAGAGGAAUUUGGAGGUGGACACAUGCAAAUACCUGUGAGUUUGAGGGCAGGGUAGCCUGUAUAAUGA